This is a non-coding RNA of Trichonephila clavata, 73 nucleotides long. Lineage: Eukaryota; Metazoa; Arthropoda; Arachnida; Araneae; Nephilidae. The record is from the annotation of a GenBank genome assembly.
GUCCUUGUAGUGCAAUGGAUAGCACGUUGGAUUUCUAAUCCAAUGCUCGUCUGUUCGAAUCCCACCUAGGAUG